CACACACCCAGGAGCUGGACCAGGUUCCUGUGCUUGAGCUUGGCAGCCAGCACGAGCUCGUUCUUAAGCUCGUGGAACCCCUGUGAAGAGUUCUGUGAAAGCCUCUUCACAGCUAUCUCUUCCCUGUCAGGGCAAAAAACAUGUAUAUUAGGAAAAGGUGGACUUAAUUCUGGUGAAAGGCUGACAUUGUUAAGUGGAAGAAGGAAAAACUCAAUGCUAAUGCAAAGCCAUGCCAUUUCAAAAAAAAAAAAGCAUAGCCAUGGACAUCGUCGUCAACCAUAUGCCAGUAUACAGCUAGGACAAAAGAAUUGCAGGCGGAAACAAAUCUGAAGCAGGAGUUUGCAGAUGUACCAGGCUGUGUUUUCUUGCGAUUGCUCUUAUUUCUUCUGCAUAACAAAACACCAAGGACGACAACGACUGCAACAAGGACCGUUCCAACCGGAAGCGCGACGGCGAGAGCGACGUCAAUCCUCUUCUUCCCUGCGUUUGUCAGUAUGCAGUUCAGAAGCUCACCUCGCUUGCUUUCUCCGACGAAGCUGGACGGAGGCGGUGCCAGGGGCGGCGGCGCAUCGCCAUCGAGCGCAAGAUCAUAGUAGGUGUAUAUCUCCACGCGCAGGUUGCAGUU
This is a long non-coding RNA of Panicum virgatum (switchgrass), 625 nucleotides long. RefSeq lists it as uncharacterized. NCBI's taxonomy places the organism in Eukaryota, Viridiplantae, Streptophyta, Magnoliopsida, Poales, Poaceae. The transcript is spliced from 3 exons. The record is from RefSeq and is a predicted model, not a curated record.